UACGAAGGGGGCGAGCGUUGUUCGGAAUUACUGGGCGUAAAGGGCGCGUAGGCGGCGACUCUAGUCAGAUGUGAAAGUCCUGGGCUUAACCUGGGGACUGCAUUUGAUACUGGGUUGCUUGAAUUCGGGAGAGGAUAGCGUAAUUCCCAGUGUAGAGGUGAAAUUCGUAGAUAUCGGGAGGAACACCAGUGGCGAAAGCGGCUACCUGGCCCAUUCUUGACGCUGAGGCGCGAAAGCUAGGGGAGCAAACGGG
RNAcentral lists this ribosomal RNA (253 nucleotides) under uncultured bacterium. RNAcentral describes it as "partial 16S ribosomal RNA". It matches the Rfam family "Bacterial small subunit ribosomal RNA", at positions 524 to 776 of the family's 1533-position model. The record is from RNAcentral.